RNAcentral lists this ribosomal RNA (460 nucleotides) under uncultured bacterium. RNAcentral's name for it is "partial 16S ribosomal RNA". It matches the Rfam family "Bacterial small subunit ribosomal RNA", at positions 338 to 795 of the family's 1533-position model. The record is from RNAcentral.
CCUACGGGUGGCAGCAGUGAGGAAUAUUGGUCAAUGGGCGCGAGCCUGAACCAGCCAAGUAGCGUGAAGGAUGAAUGCCCUACGGGUUGUAAACUUCUUUUAUCAAGGAAUAAAGUGAGGCACGUGUGCCUUUUUGUGUGUACUUUAUGAAUAAGGAUCGGCUAACUCCGUGCCAGCAGCCGCGGUAAUACGGAGGAUCCGAGCGUUAUCCGGAUUUAUUGGGUUUAAAGGGUGCGUAGGUGGGGUGUUAAGUCAGGGGUUAAAGUUUGCGGCUCAACCGUGAAAUUGCAAUUGAUACUGGCAGUCUUGAGUACAGUUGAGGUAGGCGGAAUUCGCGGUGUAGCGGUGAAAUGCUUAGAUAUCACGAAGAACUCCGAUUGCGAAGGCAGCUUACUAAACUGCCACUGACAUUGAUGCUCGAAAGUGUGGGUAUCAAACAGGAUUAGAUACCCUGGUAGUC